GGCUCUUUCUUCACGUAUACACCUUCUUUCUUCCUUUCUCUUCAUCUUUUCAUCGAGCUUUUGUUGUUCUUAUUUUGCUUUUCUUUUUGCUUCUCUUCUUGCUCUUCUUUCUUUCUUUCUUUCUUUCUUUCUUUCUUUCUACAUAAGUGGUCUUGUCAUCCUUGAGGGUGGUGUUACUUGCUGUCGAAAGGGACAUAUCACUACUGCUGCUAGCAUCUUCGAUAAGCACACCACCAUCUUUUGGCUCAUGAGUGCCUCUAGAACCUCCUCCGACUUCCAUACUUCACGUGGUGAAGCGUAACUGAAGCAACCUGCUUUG
RNAcentral lists this long non-coding RNA (319 nucleotides) under Sorghum bicolor (sorghum). RNAcentral's name for it is "long non-coding RNA (SBIC_LNC007185)". The record is from RNAcentral. Lineage: Eukaryota; Viridiplantae; Streptophyta; Magnoliopsida; Poales; Poaceae.